RNA transcript from Parus major (Great Tit), 4750 nucleotides. RefSeq lists it as uncharacterized. NCBI's taxonomy places the organism in Eukaryota, Metazoa, Chordata, Aves, Passeriformes, Paridae. The transcript has 2 exons. The record is from RefSeq and is a predicted model, not a curated record.
CUCUGGACACACGGACAGGUAUCAGGUAUUACUUUUUUUCCCCUGCUGUGGUGCAUGGUGUUUGCCAUUCUUAUCGGUGAUGUUUGUCUCCUGUGCAGAACGAGUCAGACAUCUCAGAUAUAUGGCUUUUGUUUGAACAGAGAUGGAGUCAUAGAUAUAAAAGAAGCAAAUGUAAAGAGAGGGGGUUUGAUCACUGCAGCAGAACAGGCAGAGAUCUGCUCAGGUGUAGCUAAUGGCAUUCCAUGUCGUUCCAGGCACUCCUGGGCAUCUCACCAGUGAGUUCUGAUACUGGGCUGUUCCUCUUUGGCCAUCAGCCCCUCUCCUGCAGUGUUAGUGGGUUCUUGAUCAUCCAAAUAGGGGUUUUUGAAUUGACAGGAAUGACUGUUCUUGUUGAUCCUGAGGGCAUUCUACCAUCCCUACCCCUUUGUCUCCCAAGUCCACAAUGUAGUGAGGUAGCUGUUUUCCUUAUUAAUUACCAUUUACCAGCACCAUUCUUUGGCAGCAGGUACGAGAACAGCUUUGCUUUGCCUGUGAAGCAUUCAGUUGCUUGAAUAUAUCCAAAUAUAUAGCCUUCAGUGCUUUUUGAGGGUAUCAAUUCUGAGAUUUCUCAGAACUUGUCUCUGUUUUCCAUGUCCCUAUGACUUUUUUCUCUGCCAGUUCAAGUAGGUAAUAGACAAAAUAGCUCACUAUUGGCUUAAUCUAUUAUCCAUUUCUAAGGUCCCUCAAAAAACAUCAGUGUAAUGUCUUGGUAUGGGUGUAAAUAAAUUUUGUAUCUAAAUACAAAAUAGAUAGGGGAAAAAAAUGCCUGAGGUGCAGCAUUGCUCUAUUCAGGAAAUCCUCAGGAAGGUUUUUUUUCAUCAGUGUUUCUUACAGUGCCUUUGAUAAUUGUCUCUGGAACUGAAAUCGUUGUGGUGGUGUGAUUGAUGUUUGGCUCAUGAUAGGACUGUCAGUGGAGAUCUUUCUUCUUCCUCUUACAUAAGUCCUGGAGGCCUUUGGAAUCCAGUGCGUUCACUUGUGCCCUAGAAACUUCCUGGCCUUCAGUUUCCAAUUUCUGUGCUGCUCUGAUCUGUUACCUGAUGGCCUUUGGCAGGAGAGAAGAGCCAUUUAAUGUGGUACAGUCAAGAGCCAAAGCUGAAAGCUUUUGUUUGGCAGGAGUUUGUUAAUAUUUCUUCCCUAAGUUUGAUGUACUUCAGCUUUAGCAAUCAAAGAAAUAUUGAAAACUUUUGAGGAACAGCAGGAAAUGUUUGGAGCGUCUUUUUGUUUUGAAUUUCUUCAGGCCAUUGAUCCGUAACCUCCAAUUUUUGUAAAAAAUAUAUGGCUACAAACACUUUUUUGUACGUGUAAGCAGGUGUAUUUGCUAAACUCAGAAACAAAGAAUGUGUAAAAUGAACUGAUGAUUCUGGGAGCCACUGGGUUUGCUCUCAACUUGAAGCACUUGAAGAGCUUAAAAACAUCCUCUGUGUCUAGAGGGGCUGUAGGACUUCUGGAAAAUUUCUGCCAUCCUGCAGCUGCCCCCCACAAUGUUGCUGCAUCACCUGGCAGUGCUGACACUCUUACUUGCCUUAUUUUUCAUCUAGUUUGAUUGUAAACUUAGGGUUUUCCCAUUCUGGCCUCAAAACUGCCAAGCUGAUAAAUAUUUUCUCUUUCACAUCCAUCUCCAUAGAAACAGAGUCUGUGUUACUGCUGUAAUUGUUCUCCUGUGCUGUUUUUUCUGUUAGGGCCUUGGGGGGUUUUUUGUUGGCUUCUUCAUGGGAAGAUCCAAGUUCAUUGAUUUAAGACAACUUGUAAAUGUUCAAGCGUUAAGGGAAUAAAGGGAGUGAUUAUUUUCUCAGCCUUUCCUCUAUUCCUGAGCAAACAGUUUCUUAAGAUAAAGCCCUCACAACUUUGGAAAAAUGAAAUAUAGUCAUUUUAAAUGAAGUUCUGGAGCAAGAAUAGCAUUUUCCACCUCAAAAAUCCCCUGUUGCCUUUGGAAUUUCUUCAGCUGAGAGUCAGGGCCUCAGGUGGCACCUCAGCAGGAGAAGAAAAGUGUGUAGAACCAUUUUUAGGUCCUUGUUGCUGGAGCAGGCAGGGCAAGACAUUUUAUAAUUUGGCACUGAUGUUUACUUGCUGACAUUAAAAGAUAACCCCCUUCUGCAUAUUAUGCUGCCAUUACAAAUUCUGAGUCUUCACAAAGGAAAUAUGAAGUGUCCUGUCCCCACAGCUGAAAUCCAAAGGCGCGGUGAAAUAUUUCCACAUUUCUGCCUUAUCCUGUGAAACAAAGUUCACUUAGUCAAAUCCAAGUACCUGCACUUUUCUGUUGCACAAAUCAAUUGUUUUGCAAGCACCAUUCAAUCAGACCGCAUUUAUUAGGUCAGCUCUGGCUUGAAGUUCCAGGUUCAAUGGGAAUCAUAUUCCCAAUGAUAUUACCAGGAUGUAAUGAUCUCUUAGAGGAGAACUGGGUUUGCAGCAGCAGCAACAAAACAUUAUUCAGGUUGCUGUUUUCCUUCCCAUGUUCUCCUUUACCUGGAUUUGUUACACUAUGACAUGUACUACUGGAAACCUGGGAUUCCCAGAGUUAAGGAAGUGACUCAAAAGAAGAGAAAACUGAGGAAAUGUUGGUUGGUUCAUUUGCUGGUUUUUCUUUAGAGUAGUACUUAGCGACUCUGAUUUUUGAAGAAGGGAAUAAUUGGGGUUUGAAAUUCAGUCUCUCUGAAUUUGAGGGCCUUCAGGAAGACCUGAUUUUAGAAGAAAGGUUCCUCAGUACAUUCCCAGAAUCAGAAAAAUUUCUUCAGAGACCAAAAAGUGCAUCUGAGCUUAGCAAAGAUCUGUGUGGUUCUUGUGGUUCUCUUAAAUAAGUUAUCAAAAGAUUGGUCCAUACAUCAGAGAAACUAAAGAGAUUUAUCAGGUGAUCUGUGGCUGUGUAAAGCCUAAAUAGUUGUGAUGAUUGUUAGUUGUUAAAAUUUGAACACUAAGCUGAGAAUCCUUCUUAAGUCAUGCAAAGAAAUAUUAACGAUCUCUUUGCACAUGAAGCUUUUGGUGUUGUCUUUUGGAUCAAUUAGGCAGAGGCUACACUCGUAAGGCCAUUCCUCUGUGGCGCCCUCCAACCCCGUGCUGACAGUCCUUGACAUUUGCUUUCUGCCCAAAGGCCUUUUCCAACAGUGCUUCAAUGUUGCCAGUCAGGCAUAUCCACAGCCUGCCCACCGAGUCAAAAUUAACUCAGGAAAUCCAAUUACAACAAUUAAUGUAGUAGUGCCCUUAUCUGGCACCUUCAGCUUAGUGUAAACUUGGGUUUCUGACUUUGCUCCUUCGCUCUGAGUGCUGGAAACACAGAGUGGGUGUCUAGGCACUGGAGCUAUUCCCAGCACUAAGAGGCUUAAGGCUUCCCUUAAAGUCAGUGCAGAUCCAGAUCUAGGCAGAUUCCUGGCUCCCUGGGCUGGGAAAUUGGGAGCUGGGAAAAUGAGGUGUGGAACCCAAUUUCUCCCAGUUCCUGCUGGCAGAGAGGACAGCCUUGUGCUAAGCCAAGACUGAGGGCACUGUUGGUGGAGAGCCCAGGAAGCCUGAAAAUGCUGGGAGUCUGAUUUGAACGCAGGUCUCAUGGUUUCUGAGGUGCUGCUGCACUGUUGGGCGCUGCAGCCUCUUUGCUGUCAGCAAGUAGGAGUUUUGGAUGGAUCCUCUUGACAUCCCAGAACACAAAUGUUCCUGCAUCACUUGACAGAAGUCUCUCAAGUACCUCCCUGCAGGUUUGUCAGAGCCAAUAUGGAAAUACAACUGUGGAUUUUAUGGAAGUUGAUCAGUCCUCUGAUGUUUCCAGUGAAACAUUUUGGAUUCAGUUCGUGUGGAUGCUUGAUUGGUGCACUUGCCAGUGCUGGGUUAUUGGUGGGAUUUGGUGAUCAUAAAGGGGUUUGGUCAGGGACAAUUUGCCCUUAGUGAAGCUGUGAUGGCUGUCCUGGGUCACUCCCCUGUCUUGUGUGUGCCUCAACAUCUCUUCCAUUAAGGUCUGCUCCGAGGUCUUCCCUGGCACAGAGAUGGAUCUUCCACGCUAUGCACCAAGGAGGUCCAGUGAGCCAGUCCCUGUGCUCUGUGUGUUGGAGCAAUACAGUCUGGGGUUCUCAGUUCCCUGAAUGAUACGAAUAAAAACAUUCCAGCACAUACAAGAAGCUGCAACAAUAGCAAAACUGUGCAUAUCCAAGACAACUAAGGCAUUCACCAGUGACAAUGGCAGGAUUUGAGGUUUGGAUUAAUUUUAAAGUUUACUUGGAUGAUCAGCUUGGGAGCCUCGUGGAAGCUGCAGCAGUCCUGAGUUUGGGUUUAAAAUUCACUCAGUUAUCAACUUUUUCCAGUCCCUGUAUUAAUUGCAAAGGAAACUCAUGCUCCCUUGCUCCCUGCUUCCUGACCUUGACAAGACACUGCUUCCAGCAGCUGUAAAUGAAACUGAAAGCAGAUCCAUGAGGAUAAUUAUACCACAGCUGAGGUUUCAACACAUUGUUUGUCCUGUGGAACUUUUUAAGGAAUCUGGCAAACAGGAGACAGUUCCUGAAAGUAUUCCCUGAAACCUCAAGCUUUCCCACUACUCCUGUGGAGUGCUCAGUGGGAUGAUCACUUAACUGGAGGAAAUUGAGUAAAUACAGAAGCAGAAGUCACAGAGGAAAGAAAAAACCAAGGAUUAUAAUUUUUCUCAAGAUUUAGGAGGUUGAUGAGGUCCUGGCACAGGUUGUCCAGAGAAGCUGUGGCUGCCCCAUGCCUGGAAGUGUCCAAGGCCAGGUUGGAGAGG